CAGCAGGUGGCGCUAGUGCACUGUUUUAGUUUGGGAUCUGCUGUUAGAAGGAAGAAGAAGGAGAAAGCAGGUGUGUUUGUGCUUCACAUUCCUGUCCAGUUGGUGGUGCUGAUGCACGAGAUCUGUUGUUAACUGCACUUUGAUUUUCUCCAAGAUGAAGUCGUGUCAGGUGACAAACAUCAAUCGUGAAGAUCGCACAGGUGUUUAACAGCGAUCACAAACCGGAAGUGUUUGAAAGACUUCUGGAUUCUGUUCCUGCAGCACAAGAUCGUCUGAACUACUGCAAGUCAUGAUGAGCAUCUGAUCGUCUUCAGAGACACAAAGAUCUCAGUGUUGAGCUGUUCAUCUGCAGUCUGUCAGAGAAGAGAUGAAAGAUGAGUCUCUCACACAAACAGAGAAAACAACUAUCUUGAAGAGCAACAGCACUUUCAAAAAAGGAAAACUCUAAAAAUAUAUUUGUUCAAAUCAAAACAUGAACGUGAUAGUUCCCUAUCAAUCCUUGACUUGUACUGCAUCGAUAGACUCUUUUGGGGAAAACUCCUUUUUCUCAGAGGACUGAAGACUUAUUCAAUCACGCAGUAUAACUGCACAACCAUUGGUUCACGCAGUGAUUAUAAAAAUGAACCAAUGACUAUGAUUGAGCCAGAAUAAAAGUUAUGCCUUCUUUCUUUGUGUGAACACCUGGGCGGAGUUAUGCAAAUCUUCCCACGUAGUGAUGUAGAGAUGUGGGGCGUAUUUGAAUGAGGUGUUUCAGGGGGAUGUGGACGAGCCUUAACUUUUAUAAAGAAUAUCUCUUUUGAUUUGAGACUUUAGUUUUUGCAAGUUUACAGAUCUUCUUUAUGCUCCCCUAAGAGCUUGUAACACUCCACAGAGACAGGAAUAAUUGAAAUCACAUCAUAUGACCCCUUUAAUAUCACUGUUGAAAAAUGAGUUGUGCUAUUUUAUUUAGGUUUUUUAUGAAUAUAAUUUCAAAAGAACAAUGUUUAUUUGAAAUAGAAUUCAUCAUAAAUGUCAAUACUGUCACUUUCAAUCUUUUUAAAGCAUCCUUGCUGAAUAAAAGUAAUUGAAGUCUAUUCAUGCUAACAGCAAACCUUUAAAUGGAUAUAUUUAUUAGGAGUUCGGGAGUCAGUUCGGGAGUUCGGAGCGGGUCUGCGAAUCAUUUGAGUCAGUUCGCGGAUCGCGAAUCAUUUGAGUAAGUUUGGGAGUUCGAAGCUGGAUAGCGAAUCAUUUGAGUCAGUUCGGGGAUCGCGAAUCAUUUUGAAUCCAUUUGAAAGUUCGGAGCGGGUUCGCGAAUCAUUUGAGUCAGUUUGGGGAUAGCGAAUCAUUUUAGUCAGUUCGGGAGUUCAAAGCGGGUUCGCGAAUCAUUUGAGUCAGUUUGGGGAGCGCGAAUCAUUUGAAUCAAUUCGAGAGUUCGGAGCGAGUUCGCGAAUCAUUUGAGUCGGUUCGGGAGUUCGGAGCGGGAUCGCGAAUCAUUUGAGUCAGUUCGGGAGUUCGUAGCGGGUUCGCGAAUCAUUUGAGUCAGUUUGGGGAUCGCGAACCAUUUGAAUUAGUUCGGGAGUUCGUAGCGGGAUCGCGAAUCAUUUGAGUCAGUUUGGGAAUCGCGAAUCAUUUGAGUCAGUCUGGGGAUCGUGAAUCAUAGCUGUAUAUGGAUAGGAAUUUUAACUAAUUUAGUAGCUAGUUCUAAUUACGUUUUCCACGUGUGUUUAGGUGCGAUAUGUGAACUCGUAUUUUUUGUUUUAAAAAUGUGUUAUUUUUAAAUUACUGGGUUAAAAACUGGACACAAUAUAUAUUUUGUUUUUGAGCAACAUACAGAAUGUUAGAAAGAUAAUUAGUUUAUUUAUUAAUUUUUUUAUCUGUU
This is a long non-coding RNA of Carassius gibelio (silver crucian carp), 1858 nucleotides long. RefSeq lists it as uncharacterized. The record is from RefSeq and is a predicted model, not a curated record. The transcript has 3 exons. NCBI's taxonomy places the organism in Eukaryota, Metazoa, Chordata, Actinopteri, Cypriniformes, Cyprinidae.